This 466-nucleotide ribosomal RNA is filed under the name uncultured bacterium. RNAcentral's name for it is "partial 16S ribosomal RNA". It matches the Rfam family "Bacterial small subunit ribosomal RNA", at positions 28 to 505 of the family's 1533-position model. The record is from RNAcentral.
GACGAACGCUGGCGGCGUGCUUAACACAUGCAAGUCGAACGGAAAGGCCCUGCUUUUGUGGGGUGCUCGAGUGGCGAACGGGUGAGUAACACGUGAGUAACCUGCCCUUGACUUUGGGAUAACUUCAGGAAACUGGGGCUAAUACCGGAUAGGAGCUCCUGCUGCAUGGUGGGGGUUGGAAAGUUUCGGCGGUUGGGGAUGGACUCGCGGCUUAUCAGCUUGUUGGUGGGGUAGUGGCUUACCAAGGCUUUGACGGGUAGCCGGCCUGAGAGGGUGACCGGCCACAUUGGGACUGAGAUACGGCCCAGACUCCUACGGGAGGCAGCAGUGGGGAAUAUUGCACAAUGGGCGGAAGCCUGAUGCAGCAACGCCGCGUGCGGGAUGACGGCCUUCGGGUUGUAAACCGCUUUCGCCUGUGACGAAGCGUGAGUGAAGGUAAUGGGGAAAGAAGCACCGGCUAACUACG